GGUCAAGUGAAGAAGCGCAUACGGUGGAUGCCUUGGCAGUCAGAGGCGAUGAAAGACGUGGUAGCCUGCGAAAAGCUUCGGGGAGUCGGCAAACAGACUGUGAUCCGGAGAUGUCUGAAUGGGGGAACCCAGCCAUCACAAGAUGGUUAUCUUACACUGAAUACAUAGGUGUAAGAGGCGAACCAGGGGAACUGAAACAUCUAAGUACCCUGAGGAAAAGAAAUCAACCGAGAUUCCCUUAGUAGUGGCGAGCGAACGGGGACCAGCCCUUAAGUUGUAUUGAGAUUAGCGGAACGCUCUGGAAAGUGCGGCCAUAGUGGGUGAUAGCCCUGUACGCGAAAAUCCCUUUGCAAUGAAAUCGAGUAGGACGGGGCACGAGAAACCUUGUCUGAAUAUGGGGGGACCAUCCUCCAAGGCUAAAUACUACUGACUGACCGAUAGUGAACCAGUACCGUGAGGGAAAGGCGAAAAGAACCGCGGAGAGCGGAGUGAAAUAGAUCCUGAAACCGUAUGCGUACAAGCAGUGGGAGCCCACUUUGUUGGGUGACUGCGUACCUUUUGUAUAAUGGGUCAGCGACUUAUUUUCAGUGGCGAGCUUAACCGAAUAGGGGAGGCGUAGCGAAAGCGAGUCUUAAUAGGGCGUCUAGUCGCUGGGAAUAGACCCGAAACCGGGCGAUCUAUCCAUGGGCAGGUUGAAGGUUGGGUAACACUAACUGGAGGACCGAACCGACUACCGUUGAAAAGUUAGCGGAUGACCUGUGGAUCGGAGUGAAAGGCUAAUCAAGCUCGGAGAUAGCUGGUUCUCCUCGAAAGCUAUUUAGGUAGCGCCUCAUGUAUCACUGUAGGGGGUAGAGCACUGUUUCGGCUAGGGGGUCAUCCCGACUUACCAAACCGAUGCAAACUCCGAAUACCUACAAGUGCCGAGCAUGGGAGACACACGGCGGGUGCUAACGUCCGUCGUGAAAAGGGAAACAACCCAGACCGUCAGCUAAGGUCCCAAAGUCAUGGUUAAGUGGGAAACGAUGUGGGAAGGCUUAGACAGCUAGGAGGUUGGCUUAGAAGCAGCCACCCUUUAAAGAAAGCGUAAUAGCUCACUAGUCGAGUCGGCCUGCGCGGAAGAUGUAACGGGGCUCAAACCAUGCACCGAAGCUACGGGUAUCACCUUUGGUGAUGCGGUAGAGGAGCGUUCUGUAAGCCUGUGAAGGUGAGUUGAGAAGCUUGCUGGAGGUAUCAGAAGUGCGAAUGCUGACAUGAGUAACGACAAUGGGUGUGAAAAACACCCACGCCGAAAGACCAAGGUUUCCUGCGCAACGUUAAUCGACGCAGGGUUAGUCGGUCCCUAAGGCGAGGCUGAAAAGCGUAGUCGAUGGAAAACAGGUUAAUAUUCCUGUACUUCUGGUUAUUGCGAUGGAGGGACGGAGAAGGCUAGGCCAGCCUGGCGUUGGUAGUCCAGGUUUAAGGUGGUAGGCUGAGAUCUUAGGUAAAUCCGGGAUCUUAAGGCCGAGAGCUGAUGACGAGUGUUCUUUUAGAACAUGAAGUGGUUGAUGCCAUGCUUCCAAGAAAAGCUUCUAAGCUUCAGGUAACCAGGAACCGUACCCCAAACCGACACAGGUGGUUGGGUAGAGAAUACCAAGGCGCUUGAGAGAACUCGGGUGAAGGAACUAGGCAAAAUGGCACCGUAACUUCGGGAGAAGGUGCGCCGGUGAGGGUGAAGCAUUUACUGCGUAAGCCCACGCCGGUCGAAGAUACCAGGCCGCUGCGACUGUUUAUUAAAAACACAGCACUCUGCAAACACGAAAGUGGACGUAUAGGGUGUGACGCCUGCCCGGUGCCGGAAGGUUAAUUGAUGGGGUUAGCGCAAGCGAAGCUCUUGAUCGAAGCCCCGGUAAACGGCGGCCGUAACUAUAACGGUCCUAAGGUAGCGAAAUAACUUGUCGGGUAAGUUCCGACCUGCACGAAUGGCGUAACGAUGGCGGCGCUGUCUCCACCCGAGACUCAGUGAAAUUGAAAUCGCUGUGAAGAUGCAGUGUAUCCGCGGCUAGACGGAAAGACCCCGUGAACCUUUACUAUAGCUUUGCACUGGACUUUGAAUUUGCUUGUGUAGGAUAGGUGGGAGGCUUUGAAGCGUGGACGCCAGUCUGCGUGGAGCCAACCUUGAAAUACCACCCUGGCAACUUUGAGGUUCUAACUCAGGUCCGUUAUCCGGAUCGAGGACAGUGUAUGGUGGGUAGUUUGACUGGGGCGGUCUCCUCCUAAAGAGUAACGGAGGAGUACGAAGGUGCGCUCAGACCGGUCGGAAAUCGGUCGUAGAGUAUAAAGGCAAAAGCGCGCUUGACUGCGAGACAGACACGUCGAGCAGGUACGAAAGUAGGUCUUAGUGAUCCGGUGGUUCUGUAUGGAAGGGCCAUCGCUCAACGGAUAAAAGGUACUCCGGGGAUAACAGGCUGAUACCGCCCAAGAGUUCAUAUCGACGGCGGUGUUUGGCACCUCGAUGUCGGCUCAUCACAUCCUGGGGCUGAAGCCGGUCCCAAGGGUAUGGCUGUUCGCCAUUUAAAGUGGUACGCGAGCUGGGUUUAGAACGUCGUGAGACAGUUCGGUCCCUAUCUGCCGUGGACGUUUGAGAUUUGAGAGGGGCUGCUCCUAGUACGAGAGGACCGGAGUGGACGAACCUCUGGUGUUCCGGUUGUCACGCCAGUGGCAUUGCCGGGUAGCUAUGUUCGGAAAAGAUAACCGCUGAAAGCAUCUAAGCGGGAAACUUGCCUCAAGAUGAGAUCUCACUGGAACCUAGAGUUCCCUGAAGGGCCGUCGAAGACUACGACGUUGAUAGGUUGGGUGUGUAAGCGCUGUGAGGCGUUGAGCUAACCAAUACUAAUUGCCCGUGAGGCUUGACCAU
Molecule: ribosomal RNA, 2893 nt
Filed under: Pseudomonas syringae pv. actinidiae
Lineage: Bacteria; Pseudomonadati; Pseudomonadota; Gammaproteobacteria; Pseudomonadales; Pseudomonadaceae
Description: 23S ribosomal RNA
Rfam family: Bacterial large subunit ribosomal RNA
Source: RNAcentral